UGUAAAACUUCCUAGAAGGUUCACCUCUUGAAAUCAUAUAGAAGAUGACUCAAGUGUGUCCUUUGGAAUAGGCAAUGAGCAAUAACAAACAAGCAAAGCAAAAGAAGAAAGUCAACAAAGGCGGAUACCGGAUGCCAAUCACUGGACUUAUACCAAUCUCCUAAAACAAAACUGGAUAUCAGAGGCCACUCUUUGGACUUAUACCAAUCUCCUCAACAA
This 219-nucleotide long non-coding RNA is filed under the name Lathyrus oleraceus (garden pea). RNAcentral's name for it is "Pisum sativum (pea) long non-coding RNA (PSAT_LNC013288)". Lineage: Eukaryota; Viridiplantae; Streptophyta; Magnoliopsida; Fabales; Fabaceae. The record is from RNAcentral.